Non-coding RNA from Podarcis lilfordi (Lilford's wall lizard), 1025 nucleotides. The record is from the annotation of a GenBank genome assembly. NCBI's taxonomy places the organism in Eukaryota, Metazoa, Chordata, Lepidosauria, Squamata, Lacertidae.
CUCUUAGCAGAGUCCUUAGCAGAGUUCUGCAGCGGUAGAAAGUGUUGCCUUGUGUGUGGAUAAUAAAUCAGACUGAAUGCAGGCUUCUUGCUAAUCUCCAACAGCCUUUAAUGAGAAGAAAAACAUCAUAAAUCAGCCCCGCAAGAGAGCGGACAUCCUUUCGUCUCUCAGCCAAAAACGAAAGGAAAACUCACACACAAAGAAAGAUUCCCGUAUGUGAACCAAACCACGCCUCAGAAUGUGAGACGUCACACAGAACUGUUUAACCCUGUAAGUUCUGAUUCUCCUCACAGGUAAUUAUCCCUGUUGAACCCCGCAGGGAUGGGGCGGAUGUGCCUUCACCCGCACGCCGUCCGAUAUCUGCCGCACGCUACAGUGGAGGCAGGGGCGCUGGGUGUUUAGCAUUGCACGAAUUGGAAAAUCUCCAAUGCCAACGCCAUGAGCGGGAGCAUUCCUGUUUUUCAACAAAGAUUUGAAUUUGGACUUUGAAAGGACUUUUGUCGCUCUGCUACAGAAGAUGUGAAGUGAGCGUCUCAUCUUUGCUUAUACUUGCUACUGUUGGGCCAAUGCCCUCCCUCAUUUGUCCGAAUGGUGAGGAACUUCGCCCGUAGUAGCAGAGUACAGCAGAAGCAGACUCUGGCUGGAAAGCAGCAUCGAGAAGAUAAGAAGGCAACAGAGCGACGAGCUGACUCACGCAGCCGUAUCCUUCAGCAAAAGCCAGAUGCAAGGACCAGAGGGGAGGAGGAGGAGAUAUAGAAAUCGCUCCCGUUCUCACACGAUGAUACAUUAGGUAAUUAGGCAAUUAAAGGCACAGUGUCACACUGUGCAAUGAAAGAAUGAAACACUGCAGUACUGCCAGCUACUUCAUGAUUUGGCAAGCCUCAUGGAGAAAGAUUCAAUUAAUUAAAUGGAAUGCAAGUGAAUCUUCCUAAAAAAAACUUGAGAAUUUGAUGUUUAAUGGUGCGGUCCUUUGUGGAGGGCUCUAAUUAUUAUUGGCAAGGUAUCAGCUUGUUUGAAGAUAUGGA